UGUCUCCAGGACUCAACAAAGACCCUGAGAAUAAACCAUUGCUUCCUGGUAACAAUGGUGAAGUCCAAGUAUUAACCACUCUAGACCACAUCAAUGUAACAGUUGAUGCAUCAAAGGAGUCAGAAGACGACAGAACUCCUCCUCAUCCUGGUGAGUGAUUCAACUGAAUAGGAUGUUUUUAUGAAAAUUAAAAGUUCAAACUUAUUUCUUUGUGAUUUUAUCAGAGACUUCAGGUCGACCUGCUAAACCACCACGGCGUAUGUAUUAUUCAUGGCUAUUUAACGUAUGCAGCCUUUGACUUAAUCUGCAGGUAUUUUCAUAGAUUAAUCUGACAUUUUUCAGAAGGAGAAAUAAAAUCUGACAAAGACGAGGCCAGAGAUAAACCUGAGACGACAGGAGACGACAAAACUGAUCAUG
Molecule: long non-coding RNA, 417 nt
Organism: Mugil cephalus (flathead mullet)
Lineage: Eukaryota; Metazoa; Chordata; Actinopteri; Mugiliformes; Mugilidae
Exons: 4
Source: RefSeq, a predicted model, not a curated record